This 23-nucleotide small nuclear RNA is filed under the name Arabidopsis thaliana (thale cress). RNAcentral's name for it is "snRNA_01243". The record is from RNAcentral. Lineage: Eukaryota; Viridiplantae; Streptophyta; Magnoliopsida; Brassicales; Brassicaceae.
UUCUACAGAUGAAAGUUUAGCUU